RNAcentral lists this transfer RNA (73 nucleotides) under Camelus bactrianus (Bactrian camel). It matches the Rfam family "tRNA". From Rfam's summary of the family: Transfer RNA (tRNA) molecules are approximately 80 nucleotides in length. Their secondary structure includes four short double-helical elements and three loops (D, anti-codon, and T loops). The record is from Rfam by way of RNAcentral. Lineage: Eukaryota; Metazoa; Chordata; Mammalia; Artiodactyla; Camelidae. RNAcentral also lists the same sequence under 2 other names.
GAAGGUAUAGCUCAAGUGGUAGAGAGCAUGCUUAGCAUGCACAAGGUCCUGGGUUCAAUCCCCAGUACCUCCU